This 87-nucleotide transfer RNA is filed under the name Spirochaetaceae bacterium. Its description in RNAcentral is "tRNA-Ser". It matches the Rfam family "tRNA". From Rfam's summary of the family: Transfer RNA (tRNA) molecules are approximately 80 nucleotides in length. Their secondary structure includes four short double-helical elements and three loops (D, anti-codon, and T loops). Further hydrogen bonds mediate the characteristic L-shaped molecular structure. tRNAs have two regions of fundamental functional importance: the anti-codon, which is responsible for specific mRNA codon recognition, and the 3' end, to which the tRNAs corresponding amino acid is attached (by aminoacyl-tRNA synthetases). tRNAs cope with the degeneracy of the genetic code in two manners: having more than one tRNA (with a specific anti-codon) for a particular amino acid; and 'wobble' base-pairing, i.e. permitting non-standard base-pairing at the 3rd anti-codon position. The record is from RNAcentral. Lineage: Bacteria; Pseudomonadati; Spirochaetota; Spirochaetia; Spirochaetales; Spirochaetaceae.
GGAGAGAUGACCGAGUGGCCGAAGGUGCACGCUUGGAAAGCGUGUGUACUCUCACGGGUACCGAGGGUUCGAAUCCCUCUCUCUCCG